CGUGAUGAAUAAAAUGGAUGAACGUAAGAUCAAAUGAAAGAAGGAUAAGUGAAGGCCAUUUCAUUUCCAUUUAAGUAAAGUAAGAAGGACAACAAUGAACAGCAUGAACACAAGACAUAUUGUAUUACUGCUUUCCAUGUACCAUUCAAAAAUUGUUUGUAACAUUCUCUCAGUUUUCGUUUUGUCUUCAAUUUUUUGUACUCUGCAAUUGGUGUCAAAGCGACGUUUGAGGAUUCUUUAUUUUUCAUAUAUCAGUUAAAUGUGUAUUCUGGAGAGUAAUUAACCUAUGAUUUAUGAAAGAUUUCUACAAAGGGCCAAACAAAG
This 324-nucleotide long non-coding RNA is filed under the name Mytilus galloprovincialis (Mediterranean mussel). The record is from RNAcentral. Lineage: Eukaryota; Metazoa; Mollusca; Bivalvia; Mytilida; Mytilidae.